Non-coding RNA from Methanosarcina sp. MTP4, 315 nucleotides. It matches the Rfam family "Archaeal signal recognition particle RNA". NCBI's taxonomy places the organism in Archaea, Methanobacteriati, Methanobacteriota, Methanomicrobia, Methanosarcinales, Methanosarcinaceae. The record is from Rfam.
UGAUGAGCUAGUUCGGGUAGCCCGGCGUUACCUGUAACCCGAAAUCGCCGAUACGCGGGGGACGAAGCCAAUGGAAGGUUUAUCAAAGAGUUCCGAGCCUGGGGCCUCAACUGAGAAGCCCCGUCCUGCUUGGAUGUUGCUGGUUUGAGGGCUUGCUGGAGAACAGGUCUUCCUAUCUUAACCGCGGAAACCGGUCGAGGUCCGGAAGGGAGCAGACUCACCGUGGGCAAUCAUCGCUUGUGGGGUUGCGGGGUGGAGAAGGGGUGCCAGCCCCCUGGGAUCUCCGAGGUGUAUCAACCUGCGGCGUGCUCAUCA